CAGAGUUCAUGCCCUCACGGGUAGAUCUCCCACCCUUGAAUAUUAUACCUUCGUUGCUUUGGCAGGCCGUGGAAACACCAUGGGCUCCGGCUGAUGCGUGCCUGCCAGAGGAAACAAAACUCUGUUUUUAGUGAUGUCUGAGUACUAUAUAAUAGUUA
Molecule: unclassified non-coding RNA, 158 nt
Filed under: uncultured fungus
Lineage: Eukaryota; Fungi
Description: sequence contains ITS1, 5.8S rRNA gene
Source: RNAcentral